Molecule: ribosomal RNA, 1839 nt
Filed under: Klebsiella pneumoniae
Lineage: Bacteria; Pseudomonadati; Pseudomonadota; Gammaproteobacteria; Enterobacterales; Enterobacteriaceae
Description: bacterial LSU rRNA
Rfam family: Bacterial large subunit ribosomal RNA
Source: RNAcentral
UUAAGCGACUAAGCGUACACGGUGGAUGCCCUGGCAGUCAGAGGCGAUGAAGGACGUGCUAAUCUGCGAAAAGCGUCGGUAAGGUGAUAUGAACCGUUACAGCCGGCGAUGUCCGAAUGGGGAAACCCAGUGCAAUUCGUUGCACUAUCGUUAACUGAAUACAUAGGUUAACGAGGCGAACCGGGGGAACUGAAACAUCUAAGUACCCCGAGGAAAAGAAAUCAACCGAGAUUCCCCCAGUAGCGGCGAGCGAACGGGGAGCAGCCCAGAGUCUGAAUCAGCUUGUGUGUUAGUGGAACGGUCUGGAAAGUCCGACGGUACAGGGUGAUAGUCCCGUACACCAAAAUGCACAGGCUGUGAACUCGAAGAGUAGGGCGGGACACGUGGUAUCCUGUCUGAAUAUGGGGGGACCAUCCUCCAAGGCUAAAUACUCCUGACUGACCGAUAGUGAACCAGUACCGUGAGGGAAAGGCGAAAAGAACCCCGGCGAGGGGAGUGAAAAAGAACCUGAAACCGUGUACGUACAAGCAGUGGGAGCACCUUCGGGUGUGACUGCGUACCUUUUGUAUAAUGGGUCAGCGACUUAUAUUCUGUAGCAAGGUUAACCGUAUAGGGGAGCCGCAGGGAAACCGAGUCUUAACUGGGCGUUAAGUUGCAGGGUAUAGACCCGAAACCCGGUGAUCUAGCCAUGGGCAGGUUGAAGGUUGGGUAACACUAACUGGAGGACCGAACCGACUAAUGUUGAAAAAUUAGCGGAUGACUUGUGGCUGGGGGUGAAAGGCCAAUCAAACCGGGAGAUAGCUGGUUCUCCCCGAAAGCUAUUUAGGUAGCGCCUCGUGAACUCAUCUUCGGGGGUAGAGCACUGUUUCGGCUAGGGGGUCAUCCCGACUUACCAACCCGAUGCAAACUACGAAUACCGAAGAAUGUUAUCACGGGAGACACACGGCGGGUGCUAACGUCCGUCGUGAAGAGGGAAACAACCCAGACCGCCAGCUAAGGUCCCAAAGUCAUGGUUAAGUGGGAAACGAUGUGGGAAGGCACAGACAGCCAGGAUGUUGGCUUAGAAGCAGCCAUCAUUUAAAGAAAGCGUAAUAGCUCACUGGUCGAGUCGGCCUGCGCGGAAGAUGUAACGGGGCUAAACCAUGCACCGAAGCUGCGGCAGCGACACUAUGUGUUGUUGGGUAGGGGAGCGUUCUGUAAGCCUGCGAAGGUGUGCUGUGAGGCAUGCUGGAGGUAUCAGAAGUGCGAAUGCUGACAUAAGUAACGAUAAAGCGGGUGAAAAGCCCGCUCGCCGGAAGACCAAGGGUUCCUGUCCAACGUUAAUCGGGGCAGGGUGAGUCGACCCCUAAGGCGAGGCCGAAAGGCGUAGUCGAUGGGAAACAGGUUAAUAUUCCUGUACUUGGUGUUACUGCGAAGGGGGGACGGAGAAGGCUAUGUUAGCCGGGCGACGGUUGUCCCGGUUUAAGCAUGUAGGCUGNCAGGCUUGUAGCUCAGGUGGUUAGAGCGCACCCCUGAUAAGGGUGAGGUCGGUGGUUCAAGUCCACUCAGGCCUACCAAAUUUGCGAAGCAAAUUUGAAGAGGUUGCAAACGAUGGGGCUAUAGCUCAGCUGGGAGAGCGCCUGCUUUGCACGCAGGAGGUCUGCGGUUCGAUCCCGCAUAGCUCCACCAUCUUUACUGCGAACACAAGAAAACUUCAGAGUGAACCUGAAAAGGUGCACUGCGAAGUUUUGCUCUUUAAAAAUCUGGAUCAAGCUGAAAAUUGAAACGACACACAGUUAAUGUGUGUUCGAGUCUCUCAAAUUUUCGCAAUCAGAAGUGAAACAUCUUCGGGUUGUGAGG